GACGAACGCUGGCGGUGUGCUUAACACAUGCAAGUCGAACGGUAAGGCCCUUUCGGGGGUACACGAGUGGCGCACGGGUGAGUAACACGUGAGUAACCUGCCCUCAUCUCUGGGAUAACAGUCGGAAACGGUUGCUAAUACUGGAUAUGAGCUUGCAAGGCAUCUUGUGGGUUGGAAAGAUUUUUUUGGUUGGGGAUGGACUCGCGGCCUGUCAGCUUGUUGGUGAGGUAGUGGCUCACCAAGGCUUCGACGGGUAGCCGGCCUGAGAGGGCGACCGGCCACAUUGGGACUGAGAUACGGCCCAAACUCCUACGGGAGGCAGCAGGGGGGAAUAUUGCACAAUGGACGGAAGUCUGAUGCAGCAACGCCGCGUGCGGGAUGACGGCCUUCGGGUUGUAAACCGCUUUCAAUUGUGACGAAGCUUUUUGUGACGGUAGCAGUAGAAGAAGCACCGGCUAACUACGUG
This 466-nucleotide ribosomal RNA is filed under the name uncultured bacterium. RNAcentral describes it as "partial 16S ribosomal RNA". It matches the Rfam family "Bacterial small subunit ribosomal RNA", at positions 28 to 507 of the family's 1533-position model. The record is from RNAcentral.